CCAAUAGGGCUGCUAUAGCAGGUUACUUUGAUAUAGUAAAUUGUGGAUUAUUUAUUUCGUUGGU
This 64-nucleotide transfer RNA is filed under the name Hymenolepis microstoma. Its description in RNAcentral is "tRNA-Ile". The record is from RNAcentral. Lineage: Eukaryota; Metazoa; Platyhelminthes; Cestoda; Cyclophyllidea; Hymenolepididae.